RNAcentral lists this ribosomal RNA (492 nucleotides) under uncultured bacterium. RNAcentral's name for it is "partial 16S ribosomal RNA". It matches the Rfam family "Bacterial small subunit ribosomal RNA", at positions 29 to 507 of the family's 1533-position model. The record is from RNAcentral.
AGUGAACGCUGGCGAUAGGCCUAACACAUGCAAGUCGAACGGCAGCACAGUAAGAGCUUGCUCUUACGGGUGGCGAGUGGCGGACGGGUGAGGAAUACAUCGGAAUCUACUUUUUCGUGGGGGAUAACGUAGGGAAACUUACGCUAAUACCGCAUACGACCUACGGGUGAAAGCAGGGGAUCUUCGGAUCUUGCGCGAUUGAAUGAGCCGAUGUCGGAUUAGAUAGUUGGUGGGGUAAAGGCCCACCACGGCGACGAUCCGUAGCUUGUCUGAGAGGAUGAUCAGCCACACUGGAACUGAGACAGGGUCCAGACUCCUACGGGAGGCAGCAGUCGGGAAUAUUGGACAAUGGGGGCAAGCCUGAUCCAGCCAUACCGCGUGGGUGAAGAAGGCCUUCGGGUUGUAAAGCCCUUUUGUUGGGAAAGAAAAGCAGCAGGUUAAUACCCCGCUGUUCUGACGGUACCCAAAGAAUAAGCACCGGCUAACUUCGUG